AAUAGAAGCCCUAAUUAUUUGUUUCGGCUGUUUCCGCGAUUUCCCUUCGCUGCCUUCCUCUAAGCGGCCAACGGCGAGCUCGGGUGGGUACCUGUAGGCGGAGCUGCAGCUCUCUGCGGCAGAUCCGUGGCGGUGAGCGGCCUCUCUGAAACAGCUCAACCGGAUGUCGAUGAAGGACGCCAUAAAGGACAGGCUCACUGUGCCGGACAACGUGCAGUGAGUGGUUCGAAGUCUCAGGGGGCUUCUUGAUCAAUCAUCAUCCGACGCCAAUAUAACUUUUUAGCUCACGCUUUAGCCAACUUGGCAAGAUAAUUAGUUUCCUAUUUUUGGAGAGACAAUUCACCUGCAAUUUGUAUUACAAAAAUACUAAUUAAUCAUUUUGAAUAGUAUUACUAGUCAUAUAUUGAUAGUUUUGUUUCGGUGUUCAUAUA
This is a non-coding RNA of Musa acuminata subsp. malaccensis (wild Malaysian banana), 431 nucleotides long. Lineage: Eukaryota; Viridiplantae; Streptophyta; Magnoliopsida; Zingiberales; Musaceae. The record is from RefSeq and is a predicted model, not a curated record.